AUAUGGUUCCGGAGGAGGAGGGAGAAAACAAAUAAUUGUGUCUCCUCACCCCCGACAUGUCUUUAGUAGGGCCGCGGGGGAGAGGAGAUGCUAGAGAUUAGCGGUGACCUCACAAUAGGUACCCCGUACAGGAAAAGUGUCUGAAGUUUAUCUAUUGUUAAGUGAGAUAAUUUAUCAUCGCCAAAGGUUAAGGAGCAAUCCCAGUCCUUUCCUUCUUCGGGAACAGAGAUUUAUAAGAUGGUGCCCAAAUUUAGACAUUGAGGCACUGUUGGCAGAAACGUCCCCAAAGGCUGAUGGCUUCUGUGCGUUUGAAGCCAAGUCAUUCACGGAGCUAAUUUGAGGCUCUCCUUGGAAACUAUAUUUGCUUUCUGAGUGCAUGGUCAACAGUGAACACGGAUCACUUUCUGCCAUCAGGAAAAAAAAAAAGAUGAAACCGUUGAGAAGAAUCUUUUCUAGAAACUGCAUUUUCUGGCCUUCUGGAAGCUGAUCUGUAUUUCUCCGGGCUUCCUUCCACGGCUUUGAACUUGGCAGUGGGUGCAGAGGGUGUUAGGAAGAGACCAGGGUCUGUGUCCCCCUCAUUAGAGGGGCGGGGGUCAGAGGAUGGCACCGCGGACAGAAGAGGAGGCGGGACAGUUUUCUCCUCUGUGAAAUAGACACAGUGUUGCUAUCAACCCCGCUGGUUUGUUGUGAAGUUCUGGUGGGACAAAGAAGCAGACGGCGCUCCCCUCUCUGCCUGGAAUUAGGAAGGACUCCAUCCACAUCGGCCAUCACUGAAAACAUCCAUCUGACAUCCAUUUGAACACAGUCCAGAAACCCUCAAUAUUUUAACAGCAGCUUCCAGGGAUGGCUGCUUAUUCCAACAGUGGAAAUAAUGUUUAUUAACCCAAACCGGGAUUUCAAAAAAAUUAAUACAUCUGAGCCAACAUUGGCUCCAUCUCC
RNAcentral lists this long non-coding RNA (939 nucleotides) under Mustela putorius furo (domestic ferret). RNAcentral's name for it is "lncRNA (ENSMPUG00000031409.1)". Lineage: Eukaryota; Metazoa; Chordata; Mammalia; Carnivora; Mustelidae. The record is from RNAcentral.